RNAcentral lists this ribosomal RNA (1399 nucleotides) under uncultured bacterium. RNAcentral's name for it is "bacterial SSU rRNA". It matches the Rfam family "Bacterial small subunit ribosomal RNA". The record is from RNAcentral.
AUCACGGCUCAGGACGAAACGUCUGGCGGCGAGCUUAACACACGCAAGUCGAAACGAUGAAGCGCCGUCCUCUCGGGGGCGGUGUCGGAAUAGCGGCGAAACGGGCGAGUAAUACGCGGGCAACCCGCCCCUCUGCUUCGGGAUAAGCUUUGGAAACGGGGUCUAAUACCGGAUGUGCCUGUCUGGUCGCACGGCUGGGCGGGGAAAGAUGUUUCGGCGGGGGAUGGGCUCGCGGCCUAUCAGCUUGUUGGUGGGGUGAUGGCCUACCAAGGCGUCGACGGGUAGCCGGCCUGAGAGGGUGGUCGGCCACACUGGGACUGAGAUACGGCCCAGACUCCUACGGGAGGCAGCAGUGGGGGAUAUUGCACAAUGGGCGCAAGCCUGAUGCAGCGACGCCGCGUGGGGGAUGGAGGCUUUCGGGUUGUAAACCCCUUUCGGCGCGGGACAAGGCUCCGUUUGGCGGGGUUGAGGGUACGCGUCAAAGAAGCGCCGGCUAACUACGUGCCAGCAGCCGCGGUAAUACGUAGGGCGCGAGCGUUGUCCGGAAUUAUUGGGCGUAAAGGGCUCGUAGGCGGCUUGUCGCGUCUGCUGUGAAAACGCGGGGCUCAACUCCGCGCGUGCAGUGGGUACGGGCAGGCUGGAGUGCGGCAGGGGUGGCUGGAAUUCCUGGUGUAGCGGUGGAAUGCGCAGAUAUCAGGAAGAACACCGAUGGCGAAGGCAGGCCACUGGGCCGUCACUGACGCUGAGGAGCGAAAGCGUGGGGAGCGAACAGGAUUAGAUACCCUGGUAGUCCACGCUGUAAACGUUGGGAACUAGGUGUGGGGUCUGUUCCACGGAUUCUGCGCCGGAGCUAACGCGUUAAGUUCCCCGCCUGGGGAGUACGGCCGCAAGGCUAAAACUCAAAGGAAUUGACGGGGGCCCGCACAAGCGGCGGAGCAUGCGGAUUAAUUCGAUGCAACGCGAAGAACCUUACCAAGGCUUGACAUGUGCCGGGAGGGCGCGGAGACGCGUCUGCCUUCGGGCCGGUUCACAGGUGGUGCAUGGUUGUCGUCAGCUCGUGUCGUGAGAUGUUGGGUUAAGUCCCGCAACGAGCGCAACCCUUGUCCCGUGUUGCCAGCGCGUUGUGGCGGGGACUCACGGGGGACUGCCGGGGUCAACUCGGAGGAAGGUGGGGACGACGUCAAAUCAUCAUGCCCCUUAUGCCUUGGGCUUCACGCAUGCUACAAUGGCCGGUACAGAGGGUGGCGAUGCCGUGAGGCGGGGCGAAUCUCGUAAAGCCGGUCUCAGUUCGGAUCGGGGUCUGCAACUCGGGCCCGUGAAGUCGGAGUCGCUAGUAAUCGCAGAUCAGCAACGCUGCGGUGAAUACGUUCUCGGGCCCUUGCACACACCGCCCGUCAAG